Schistosoma rodhaini is the source of this 45-nucleotide non-coding RNA. The record is from Rfam. NCBI's taxonomy places the organism in Eukaryota, Metazoa, Platyhelminthes, Trematoda, Strigeidida, Schistosomatidae.
AUCCAGCUGACGAGUCUCAAAUAGGACGAAACGCGCAUCCUGGAU